Molecule: ribosomal RNA, 399 nt
Filed under: uncultured fungus
Lineage: Eukaryota; Fungi
Description: bacterial SSU rRNA
Rfam family: Eukaryotic small subunit ribosomal RNA
Source: RNAcentral
GUUUUGCAAGUCUGGUGCCAGCAGCCGCGGUAAUUCCAGCUCCAAUAGCGUAUAUUAAAGUUGUUGCAGUUAAAACGCUCGUAGUUGAACUUGGGGCCCGGCGGUUGUGGUCCGCCUCGCGGCGUGUACUGCGUGUGUCGGGCUCUGUGGUGUUUGGUUUCCUUUUCGGAGGGGGCUAGACCCGGUUUACUUUGAGGAAAUUAGAGUGUUCAAAGCAGGCGCUUAUGCCGGAAUAGAUUAGCAUGGAAUAAUAAAAUAGGACGUUGUGGUUCUGUUUUGUUGGUUGUGACGGAACUGCCGUAAUGAUGAAUAGGGACAGUUGGGGGCAUUUGUAUUGACACGCUAGAGGUGAAAUUCUUGGAUUGUGUCAAGACAAACUACUGCGAAAGAUUUGCCAAA